AUGGUAGCUGCAGCGGAGGCCGCCGGUGUCACCGUGGUGGCGGGACGCAGGAGCAAGUGCUUCACGCGGAGCCUCUACUGGCGCCUCCGUGCUGCCCUCCGGCGGCUGCACUCGGAGCGCGGCAGGUGGCGCAGGCAGCAGUUGUGCUUCCACUACGACGCCCUCAGCUACUCGCUCAACUUCGACGACGGCCACGGCGGCUGA
Molecule: ribosomal RNA, 204 nt
Filed under: Triticum aestivum (bread wheat)
Lineage: Eukaryota; Viridiplantae; Streptophyta; Magnoliopsida; Poales; Poaceae
Description: partial small subunit ribosomal RNA
Source: RNAcentral